CCUACGGGAGGCAGCAGUGAGGAAUAUUGGUCAAUGGACGAGAGUCUGAACCAGCCAAGUAGCGUGAAGGAUGACUGCCCUAUGGGUUGUAAACUUCUUUUAUCUGGGAAUAAAAUGUUCCACGUGUCGGAUUUUGUAUGUACCAUAUGAAUAAGCAUCGGCUAACUCCGUGCCAGCAGCCGCGGUAAUACGGAGGAUACGAGCGUUAUCCGGAUUUAUUGGGUUUAAAGGGUGCGUAGGUGGUUUGUUAAGUCAGUUGUGAAAGGUUGCGGCUCAACCGUAAGAUGGCAGUUGAAACUGGCAGUCUUGAGUAGAGUAGAGGUAGGCGGAAUGCGUGGUGUAGCGGUGAAAUGCUUAGAUAUCGCGAAGAACUCCGAUUGCGAAGGCAGCUCACUGGACUGCAACUGACACUGAGGCUCGAAAGUGUGGGUAUCGAACAGGAUUAGAUACCCUAGUAGUC
Molecule: ribosomal RNA, 460 nt
Filed under: uncultured bacterium
Lineage: Bacteria
Description: partial 16S ribosomal RNA
Rfam family: Bacterial small subunit ribosomal RNA
Source: RNAcentral